RNAcentral lists this long non-coding RNA (554 nucleotides) under Spirodela polyrhiza (greater duckweed). RNAcentral describes it as "long non-coding RNA (SPOL_LNC000326)". The record is from RNAcentral. Lineage: Eukaryota; Viridiplantae; Streptophyta; Magnoliopsida; Alismatales; Araceae.
AAGAAGAAGAAGAAGAAGAAGAAGAAGAAGAAGAAGAAGAAGAAGAAGAAGCAGAAGAAGAAGAAGAAGAGGAUACUAUUCCCUGGGUUCCUUAGCACGUGUGGUUUCAGACGCCAUCGUAAAGGAUGCGAACCAGCAUAUUCUUGUGCAAGAAAUCAGAAUUCUCCAGCGAGAAACCCCACGCCACAACUGUCGUCUGCUAAAAGUCUCUGCAUUGCGUCAUCGCCCGCUAGUUCUGAUAAGUACAUGAGAGACAAUCGAUCAAGCUGAACGUCUCUUACGCCCCCCCCCCCCUCGCAUGUCCACUUCAUCAACGUCGCCUCUGGAGGACCUUUCAUUGAUGACCGGAGAGAGGGAGAAGCGUGCUGCAGAAAGCAUCGAAGAUUUUACGCUCGGGCGUGGAGAGGGGAUGUCGGAUAGGGCUUCGUUCCCCGGUCUAAGAAACCAUGGAAGCGGUCCGAGAGAUCAAUCGAGUGGAGCAGAUGAGGCCAACAUUUCGAGCUCCAGCGGCGGGCUGACGGCGGAGAAUUAACAGAUCACGACGGGUUGCGCCG